AAGCUUCAUUUCACCCCUUUAAUUAUUUCUUAUUACCCAAAAGCUCCAUUAUUCCCUAAAUUGCAAAACUGCCCCUCAUUUGUUUUUAAAUAUUUUCUUCCCCCUUUCUUUUUCAUCACUCAUUUCAGUUCUUACUAUAAUUAAAAUACAUGAUCAUUUUUCUCUUAAUUAUCUACAACCUAAAAAACUCCUGUAAAUCUCUUUGUCCAAAUAAAAUCCCCUGCCUAUAAAUUCUCCUUGAUAAAAUUAAAACCUAAGAUAAAUUCCUUAAUAACAAAUCCUCAUUAUUUUGGGUGCUACAGUACAGUUGACAGCAGCAUUUAUUCUCUUAAGUAACUUAUCACAAGUCAAAAUUCUGUGGUGUAGCUGUCCACGCAUUCACUAUAAAUGAUUUAACCUCACAUAUGUAAAUUCUAGGUAAUUACCAGAAACAUCCAUUCUUCCUAUCUAAUCCAUGCCGCAUACAAUCUAAAACUAACCCUAUUACUAAUAUGUGUACAGGGAUAAGUAAUUACUAUUUCAUGUUGAAUUCUUUACUUCAAUAAAAACAAAUAUAUUACCAAAAUGUUCUCAAGGAAAGCCCUGAAAGCCAUGUCUCACAAAUUUUAAACUGAAGAAUAUUCCUCUAAAAUAUCUACAUAUUGUACAUAACCUACAUAACUUGCAAAACUGAGCAAACCAGGAGUACUUACAUAUCCAAAAAAAAAGCUAGAUAAUUAAAGCAUCUUGCAUUGCAAAACUGGAGAUUGUAUGCCAAAAAAAAAAAAAAAAGACAGAGAAGAAGCCAAACAUUGAUUACCCAGUUGUAUGGACCCAAAUAAUAAAUAAUCCAGAUAUCAGAAAUAUUUAAAUCUAUUCACGCCAAGAUUUGUGACCUUUCUUAUUGUAGCCAAAUCCAUAGCACUGGCGCCAGAUUUUCCUUAUCACUGUCCGGCUCACUAGAUAUUAAAAGAAUGUGUAGGUCCUCCACAAAGGCCACAUUGAAUUAAACUUGGCUUGCAGUUCUGUUCAAGAGAAGCAGCCUUAAAAAUCAAGUACAUCUUCUCUGCAUCAGUCUGCAAAUGUAAAACACAUUUUAGGAUCCAAAAGAGCAGGAGACAAUAAGGCACUCAAACAAUUUUUAUUUCUCAGCACUCACUCAAUCGGACUUAACACAACAAAAAGUCCCUACUUCAACUAUCACAGUAAGAAAUUCAAAUAAAGCCCCCAAAUAUAAAUGUUACAUAGCUCGAGUGAUCGCAAUCAUGUUUUCUAAGAACAUAAUAACACCACCAAAUAAACUCAGAAAUAUACAGAUAAAUUGACAGUGAGACUUUAUAAAAGACAUGAAAUAGGCAAUAAUGUGAGUACCAGGCAAUAUAUUUUAAGAAGAGGGCCUUGAAUUCAAGUAUAGCCCCAUAAAUGAUUGACCAAUACAAAUAGUAGAAACAAGAAUUUGCCAUUCACUUCAAUCACAAAGUAACAUCUGCUAAUCAUUUGGUAUUUGGUAUAAAACAAAAUUCACAGUCCAAAUAACAAUGCUAAUCAGGUCCACAUGAUAUUAUGAUUCAUAGUAUUUGGAAAAUUCCUUAAUCUAGAGUAUGACAUCUAAAUUGUGAAUCAUAGCUAAACAUUUACCAAAACCAUUUGUGCUCUCAGAUUGAAAGACAUAACACUUGAUUAUCAAAAAAGAGGUAGUAGACUCCCCUGGAUAUGCAAAUUGGUUUUCAGAAAAUAAAGGAAAAAGAAAGAUUCCAUCCAAAAAGCAUACAACUUUGCUAGGGCGCGUAGAAAUAGAUGCUCAGGAAACAAAACAAAAAAAAGUAGAGUGGGAAUUAAUUUCUAUUUUUUUUAUAAGAAAACACUAUAUGAUCGCAAAGGAAACUUUUGUGGCUGCUUAAUUCGAACUUUCUAGAGGUUCCAUUUAGUGGAAUGUGAGCUUUGCUAGAGUGGCUUAUGAUUAGGAGAUGAAAAUCUUUGCCUCGUUCUUCAAGGUGUUGUAUUUAGUGAAAGUGAGACGGAAAUGUGAGGACAAGCUGUAGUGAGUCCCAUGGACUCCAAAAGUAACGCGCCAUUUUGAGGCCGUUUGUGCCAUUUGCAAUGUUUUCUUCAGCCAAUUUAGGUCGUCUUAGGUUAUGCCUAGACGAGUAGUAAACUUGUAUGCUUGUUGGUGGCUUCUCGGCAGCACUCGAAGUGCUACGAUGUGGAAGAUGUUGUGUCUUUUGUGGUAUUAAGUCUUUAUUUUACAACAUUUUGUAUCUUUGGAUAUUUGUUUCUUCGUGAUUAGUUAUCAUGAUUGUCUUGUUCUUUUUGCUCUUAUUAGAUAGGUAGCUUCUCUUGUGUACAUCUUGUGUACUUAGGAACGCCUUAUGCUUUUAAUGAUAUUUCAGUUACUUAUCAAAAAUAUAUAUAUACAGAUAUUAGCAAGUAAGAGCACUAGCAAAAAUCACUGAAACUAAGAAACAACAGGGAAACAAACGCCGCUGUCCAUAGGAACAAAGUCUCAUAGAAAAAAGAUAAAAUAUCCUCCAACGACUUCUCCAUAUCCUCAAAGUUUCUGUCAUUCCUUUCUUUCCACAAACACCAAAAGAGGCACGUAGGAACCAUUUUCCACACAGCAGCGCUCCUAGGCCUCCUAAUAAAUCCACAAUUCAUCUAGGCAUCACCCAGGACAGCUCAAAAGCUUGAUUUGUCAU
Molecule: long non-coding RNA, 2675 nt
Filed under: Betula platyphylla (Asian white birch)
Lineage: Eukaryota; Viridiplantae; Streptophyta; Magnoliopsida; Fagales; Betulaceae
Source: RNAcentral